UCAUCUAUAAAAUGGAUAUAAUACCUACUCUGUAGCAUGGCUAUGAGAAUCAAAUGCAUUAGUUAGAUGAAAAGUGCUUGGAACAGCGCACAGAGAAUAACGAGUACCCAGCCGUUCUCAGCUAUUGUUAUUGUUAUUGAACAUCCACUGUGUGUUUGGCACUGGUAGGCUUGGACAGCACAUUCAAGAUGGCUACUCUCCUAGUGAUCACAACUUAGUGUAAUAUUCAUAAGAGUAUCUAAUCGAAAGCCAAGUGCACAGAAGAAACUUAACAUAGUUUAUUUUCCUUUUCUUUUGCUUUCCAGGGAAAAAGCUACGUGCUAGUUUCCCAAAGACUAAAAACUAGGACCUAUGAUGAGUCCUGGAUCCUGCUGCAGGUCCUACUUGUUGAUGGUUUGAAAGAAAUAUGAAUCUUUUUCCAGAGUCAGUUUCUGUUUCUUGUAACUGGAGAAUCCUGACUAAUAAAGGACCUUUAGGGGACACUGAAGAAUUUGAAGGCAAAGGAGAUGCUGUAAAUUGGAAGAAGAUGGCACAAGAGAGCAUUCUGAGUGUAUUAUAUAACUGCCAUGGGUAGUAGCAGGGAUGGACAAAUACACUUUGAACAAAAGAAAAGGGCUCAAAACAAUGAGGCAUGGCUUAGAUUACUUGCUUUUCAGACUUCGAAUCUGUUAUUUUAAGCAGAAGAAAGCCAGUCACUGCUAUAAGAAGGACCCUCACUUAUUAAGCAGCAGGCUUACAUAAGAAGAGGCUGUGACAACAAGAAGCGUAUUGGUGUAGACGUACCUCGUCUCUUACCUGCUUUCAGUAGGUCAGCAAAUGUACCUUGUUUGCUGUUUUCCUCAUUGACAGUUCAUUACAAAAUGAGGUAGGUUAUUUUUUUUUCUGACUACAUUAGCAAAAACAGAGAAGUAAUUAAUACAUAAAGUACCAAAUAUGAAAUAUUACUCUGCACAGAGGCAUUUCACACUUCACUGAUUUCAUGAGUAGGCCAGAGGUGCCAGAACAAUAAUUAAUAUGUUGUAAGGGAAAAAUUAUUAUGCAAGGUCAGCAGCAUUUGAAGACUUUACAAAGAAGAGGGAUUAAAAGAUAUUAUGAAACUAUUUAUUAAAUAGUGCUUAAAAUUGGGUUUUAAGUGAAUAUUUGAAGAAAUAUAAAAUUUUUCUAUGAGAAAUUAGUAGGAAUUUUUCAUCACUGAAAGUAUGCCUCUUUAUGCAAUGCAUAAUGUAUAUAAAUAUAUUGACUUUUGGGGAAAUGUGAAUAAAUAUGUGUAGGUAAGUAUGAGUGGACUUAUGCUUGAGUAUACGGACAUCAUUAUUUCUGAAUUUUCAAUGAAAUGGUAAAAUUUAAAACUCAAGCAAAUUCAUUUAUAUUAUUUAUUUAUG
This is a non-coding RNA of Equus caballus (horse), 1382 nucleotides long. Lineage: Eukaryota; Metazoa; Chordata; Mammalia; Perissodactyla; Equidae. The record is from RefSeq and is a predicted model, not a curated record.